GACGAACGCUGGCGGCGUGCUUAACACAUGCAAGUCGAACGGAAAGGCCUCUUUCGGGGGGUACUCGAGUGGCGAACGGGUGAGUAACACGUGAGUAACCUGCCCUUGACUUUGGGAUAACUUCAGGAAACUGGGGCUAAUACCGGAUAGGAGCUCCUGCUGCAUGGUGGGGGCUGGAAAGUUUCGGCGGUUGGGGAUUGGUUCGUGGCUUAUCAGCUUGUUGGUGGGGUAGUGGCUUACCAAGGCCUUGCCGGGUAGCCGGCCUGAGGGGGUGACCGGCCGCAUUGGGACUGAGGGACGGCCCAGGCUCCUACUGGUGGCAGCAGUGGGGAAUAUUGCACAAUGGGUGGAAGCCUGAUGCAGCAACGCCGUGUGCGGGAUGACUGCCUUCGGGUUGUAAACCGCUUUCGCUCAUGACUAAGCUUUGUGUGACGGUAGUUGGUAAAGAAGCACCGGCUAACUACGUG
This 467-nucleotide ribosomal RNA is filed under the name uncultured bacterium. RNAcentral's name for it is "partial 16S ribosomal RNA". It matches the Rfam family "Bacterial small subunit ribosomal RNA", at positions 28 to 507 of the family's 1533-position model. The record is from RNAcentral.